This 469-nucleotide ribosomal RNA is filed under the name uncultured bacterium. RNAcentral's name for it is "bacterial SSU rRNA". It matches the Rfam family "Bacterial small subunit ribosomal RNA", at positions 335 to 799 of the family's 1533-position model. The record is from RNAcentral.
ACUCCUACGGGAGGCAGCAGUGGGAAUAUUGGACAAUGGGCGCAAGCCUGAUCCAGCCAUGCCGCGUGUGUGAAGAAGGCCCUCGGGUUGUAAAGCACUUUCAGUGAGGAAGAAAGCUUGUCGGUUAAUACCCGGCAAGGACGACAUCACUCACAGAAGAAGCACCGGCUAACUCCGUGCCAGCAGCCGCGGUAAUACGGAGGGUGCGAGCGUUAAUCGGAAUUACUGGGCGUAAAGCGCGCGUAGGCGGAUCAGAAAGUUGGGGUGGAAUCCGGGCAUCGACCAUCGGAACUGCCUCCAAAACUCCUGGUCUUGAGUUCGAGAGAGGUGAGUGGAAUUCCGAGUGUAGAGGUGAAAUUCGUAGAUAUUCGGAGGAACACCAGUGGCGAAGGCGGCUCACUGGCUCGAUACUGACGCUGAGGUGCGAAAGUGUGGGAGCAAACAGGAUUAGAUACCCUGGUAGGCUCUG